CAAUAGCGUAUAUUUAAGUUGCUGCAGUUAAAAAGCUCGUAGUUGGAUUUCGGGUGGGAAUGGCCGGUCCGCCGUUUCGGUGUGCACUUGCUACGCCCACCUUGCUGCCGGGGACGUGCUCUUGAGUUCACGCUCGGGACACGGAGUCGGCGAGGUUACUUUGAGUAAAUUAGAGUGUUCAAAGCAGGCCUACGCUCUGAAUACAUUAGCAUGGAAUAACACGAUAGGACUCUGGCCUAUCUUGUUGGUCUGUAGGACCGGAGUAAUGAUUAAGAGGGACAGUCGGGGGCAUUCGUAUUUCAUUGUCAGAGGUGAAAUUCUUGGAUUUACGAAAGAUAAACUUCUGCGAAAGCAUUCGGCAAGGAUGUUUUCAUUGA
RNAcentral lists this ribosomal RNA (377 nucleotides) under uncultured eukaryote. Its description in RNAcentral is "partial 18S ribosomal RNA". It matches the Rfam family "Eukaryotic small subunit ribosomal RNA", at positions 592 to 976 of the family's 1831-position model. The record is from RNAcentral.